AUUGAACGCUGGCGGCAGGCCUAACACAUGCAAGUCGAACGGUAACAGGAAGCAGCUUGCUGCUUUGCUGACGAGUGGCGGACGGGUGAGUAAUGUCUGGGAAACUGCCUGAUGGAGGGGGAUAACUACUGGAAACGGUAGCUAAUACCGCAUAACGUCGCAAGACCAAAGAGGGGGACCUUAGGGCCUCUUGCCAUCGGAUGUGCCCAGAUGGGAUUAGCUAGUAGGUGGGGUAACGGCUCACCUAGGCGACGAUCCCUAGCUGGUCUGAGAGGAUGACCAGCCACACUAGAACUGAGACACGGUCCAGACUCCUACGGGAGGCAGCAGUGGGGAAUAUUGCACAAUGGGCGCAAGCCUGAUGCAGCCAUGCCGCGUGUAUGAAGAAGGCCUUCGGGUUGUAAAGUACUUUCAGCGGGGAGGAAGGGAGUAAAGUUAAUACCUGUGCUCAUUGACGUUACCCGCAGAAGAAGCACCGGCUAACUCCGUG
RNAcentral lists this ribosomal RNA (490 nucleotides) under uncultured bacterium. RNAcentral describes it as "partial 16S ribosomal RNA". It matches the Rfam family "Bacterial small subunit ribosomal RNA", at positions 30 to 507 of the family's 1533-position model. The record is from RNAcentral.